Long non-coding RNA from Passer montanus (Eurasian tree sparrow), 529 nucleotides. RefSeq lists it as uncharacterized. The transcript has 4 exons. The record is from RefSeq and is a predicted model, not a curated record. NCBI's taxonomy places the organism in Eukaryota, Metazoa, Chordata, Aves, Passeriformes, Passeridae.
UGGGAAUGCAUACAUGGUUUCUUUGUCAGCUCAGCUUCAGCUUGUACUAACAAAGUGGCAGAAGAUGGGAGAGAAUAGGGUCAGAGCACUCCAGGUUUUUGUGUGGCUUCUGUCUGAGAUGUUUCUCAGGAGCAGUCUGACAGGGAAUGGCAGAGCCCCAUUACAUGGCACAGAGGGUGGCUGGGUUCCAGCUCGUCAGUGUAAGUCAUCAGAACUUAUCAUCUGAAUAGACUAUGUCAACAGAUCUUCCUUACAGUAGAGUACACCUGGACUGGAAAGAUGAAACAGCAAGAAUUGCCUUUUUUUGUUCUGUGGAGGAUUUACUUGCUCUCUAGAACCGACUUGUUUGAACUUUCAAGUUAAGCUGAAAAGAUGCUGUGAAAUACUGAAAAAAUGGAAGAAACAGAAACAUGCAAAUGUUCAUUGUUAGCUAACUGCAGGACACUGCAAGUAAGGAAGUUAAGCUGAUAAAUAUGCUUUCUGUAUAACAUCUCAAAUCUGUGUUGAAUUGUUCAUCUUGCUGCUAUGA